Molecule: microRNA, 21 nt
Filed under: Anolis carolinensis (green anole)
Lineage: Eukaryota; Metazoa; Chordata; Lepidosauria; Squamata; Anolidae
Description: aca-miR-5452-3p
Source: miRBase by way of RNAcentral
CAACAACAGCCGGAGGGCUGG